CACCAUCAAUCAUGUAUAAAGACUUCAGUGAAAAUCGUCAAACCUGAUAACACUAAAGAAAAUAAAUUAAUAUACGUAAAUAAAUAUUUGCUUAUUUUAGAAGUCUUAACUUCUCACAAGAAUGACCUCAUGUUCAAAGGAUAACAAUGCUGCAGAAGUUGAAGAGAAGCAAGAUACAACUGGCGACUGUGCUUUUUAUUCAGUUUUACUACUCUUUUUCAAAAAAAUAACUUGAUCAGCAUAUAUAAUGCAUAACUCCUUGCUAUAUAUUUUCAUUUUCUUCUGUGCAAAUAGUGACCAAAAAUAAGGAUAGAUCAUCAACACAGAUCUAUUUUACAUUAUAAUGUAGAUUUUCUGUGCAUGCAUCCAUAAAUAUGAGCAUGCCUACAUUAGCACAUUACAAAGCAUGCAUAAUCCUGAAGAAUGAUGCACAUUGUUCUAUUUUACAUAUUUCACAUCUCUUCUUAAAAAGCUAAAGAGUGUUAUGAUCUUGUAAACUAAAUUUGUUCAAUAUCUCACCCAAUGCUUCUAAAGUGAACUUGUAUCGUUCACGCGAUUUUCUCCCCUCUUCAACCAACUUCACAGCACACUUGUACAAAUUAUCAU
RNAcentral lists this long non-coding RNA (606 nucleotides) under Nicotiana benthamiana. RNAcentral describes it as "long non-coding RNA (NBEN_LNC002644)". The record is from RNAcentral. Lineage: Eukaryota; Viridiplantae; Streptophyta; Magnoliopsida; Solanales; Solanaceae.